This 29-nucleotide non-coding RNA is filed under the name Mus musculus (house mouse). The record is from RNAcentral. Lineage: Eukaryota; Metazoa; Chordata; Mammalia; Rodentia; Muridae.
UACCGAGUUCUAUAUAACCUUUGUCCUGA